Molecule: ribosomal RNA, 253 nt
Filed under: uncultured bacterium
Lineage: Bacteria
Description: partial 16S ribosomal RNA
Rfam family: Bacterial small subunit ribosomal RNA
Source: RNAcentral
UACAGAGGGUGCGAGCGUUGUCCGGAAUCACUGGGCGUAAAGGGCGCGUAGGUGGCGCCGCAAGUCCAUGGUGAAAGCUCGAUGCUCAACAUCGAGUCGGCCACGGAGACUGCGGGGCUCGAGCACUGUAGGGGCAGAUGGAAUUCCGGGUGUAGCGGUGGAAUGCGUAGAGAUGUGGAGGAAUACCGAUGGCGAAGGCAGCCCCCUGGGAUAACACUGACGCUCAUGCACGAAAGCGUGGGGAGCAAACAGG